GCUUUCUCCGCUGACGAGCGGCGGACGGGUGAGUAAUGUCUGGGGAUCUGCCUGAUGGAGGGGGAUAACUACUGGAAACGGUAGCUAAUACCGCAUAACGUCGCAAGACCAAAGUGGGGGACCUUCGGGCCUCAUGCCAUCAGAUGAACCCAGAUGGGAUUAGCUAGUAGGUGGGGUAAUGGCUCACCUAGGCGACGAUCCCUAGCUGGUCUGAGAGGAUGACCAGCCACACUGGAACUGAGACACGGUCCAGACUCCUACGGGAGGCAGCAGUGGGGAAUAUUGCACAAUGGGCGCAAGCCUGAUGCAGCCAUGCCGCGUGUAUGAAGAAGGCCUUCGGGUUGUAAAGUACUUUCAGUAGGGAGGAAGGUGUGAGCGUUAAUAGCGUUCACAAUUGACGUUACCUACGGAAGAAGCACCGGCUAACUC
Molecule: ribosomal RNA, 429 nt
Filed under: Edwardsiella ictaluri
Lineage: Bacteria; Pseudomonadati; Pseudomonadota; Gammaproteobacteria; Enterobacterales; Hafniaceae
Description: bacterial SSU rRNA
Rfam family: Bacterial small subunit ribosomal RNA
Source: RNAcentral